This 388-nucleotide ribosomal RNA is filed under the name Brachymonas sp. canine oral taxon 015. RNAcentral describes it as "bacterial SSU rRNA". It matches the Rfam family "Bacterial small subunit ribosomal RNA", at positions 9 to 395 of the family's 1533-position model. Lineage: Bacteria; Pseudomonadati; Pseudomonadota; Betaproteobacteria; Burkholderiales; Comamonadaceae. The record is from RNAcentral.
GAGUUUGAUCAUGGCUCAGAUUGAACGCUGGCGGCAUGCUUUACACAUGCAAGUCGAACGGCAGCACAGGGAGCUUGCUCCUGGGUGGCGAGUGGCGAACGGGUGAGUAAUGUAUCGGAACGUGCCUGGUAGUGGGGGAUAACCACUCGAAAGAGUGGCUAAUACCGCAUGAGAUCUCUGGAUGAAAGCGGGGGACCUUUGGGCCUCGCGCUACUGGAGCGGCCGAUAUCAGAUUAGGUUGUUGGUGGGGUAAAGGCCUACCAAGCCUGCGAUCUGUAGCUGGUCUGAGAGGACGACCAGCCACACUGGGACUGAGACACGGCCCAGACUCCUACGGGAGGCAGCAGUGGGGAAUUUUGGACAAUGGGCGCAAGCCUGAUCCAGCAAU